UGGGGAAUUUUGGACAAUGGGCGAAAGCCUGAUCCAGCAAUGCCGCGUGUGUGAAGAAGGCCUUCGGGUUGUAAAGCACUUUUGUCCGGAAAGAAAUCCUUGGCUCUAAUACAGUCGGGGGAUGACGGUACCGGAAGAAUAAGCACCGGCUAACUACGUGCCAGCAGCCGCGGUAAUACGUAGGGUGCAAGCGUUAAUCGGAAUUACUGGGCGUAAAGCGUGCGCAGGCGGUUUGCUAAGACCGAUGUGAAAUCCCCGGGCUCAACCUGGGAACUGCAUUGGUGACUGGCAGGCUAGAGUAUGGCAGAGGGGGGUAGAAUUCCACGUGUAGCAGUGAAAUGCGUAGAGAUGUGGAGGAAUACCGAUGGCGAAGGCAGCCCCCUGGGCCAAUACUGACGCUCAUGCACGAAAGCGUGGGGAGCAAACAGGAUUAGAUACCCUGGUAGUCCACGCCCUAAACGAUGUCAACUAGUUGUUGGGGAUUCAUUUCCUUAGUAACGUAGCUAACGCGUGAAGUUGACCGCCUGGGAGUACGGUCGCAAAGAUUAAAACUUCAAAGGAAUUGACGGGGUCAUAGCUGUUUCCU
RNAcentral lists this ribosomal RNA (586 nucleotides) under uncultured bacterium. RNAcentral's name for it is "partial 16S ribosomal RNA". It matches the Rfam family "Bacterial small subunit ribosomal RNA", at positions 355 to 1375 of the family's 1533-position model. The record is from RNAcentral.